CUACGGGGCGCAGCAGUGAGGAAUAUUGGUCAAUGGACGCAAGUCUGAACCAGCCAUCCCGCGUGAAGGAUGACUGCCCUAUGGGUUGUAAACUUCUUUUAUAUGCAAAUAAACCUACUUUCGUGAAAGUAGCUGAAGGUAGCAUAUGAAUAAACACCGGCUAACUCCGUGCCAGCAGCCGCGGUAAUACGGAGGGUGUAAGCGUUAUCCGGAUUUAUUGGGUUUAAAGGGUACGUAGGCGGUAAUAUAAGUCAGUGGUGAAAUCCUGCAGCUCAACUGUAGAACUGCCAUUGAAACUGUAUUACUUGAGUAUACUUGAGGUAGGCGGAAUGAGUAGUGUAGCGGUGAAAUGCUUAGAUAUUACUCAGAACACCGAUUGCGAAGGCAGCUUACUAAGGUAUAACUGACGCUGAUGUACGAAAGCGUGGGGAGCGAACAGGAUUAGAUACCCCCGUAGUC
Molecule: ribosomal RNA, 459 nt
Filed under: uncultured bacterium
Lineage: Bacteria
Description: partial 16S ribosomal RNA
Rfam family: Bacterial small subunit ribosomal RNA
Source: RNAcentral